RNAcentral lists this ribosomal RNA (861 nucleotides) under uncultured Neocallimastigales. RNAcentral's name for it is "partial large subunit ribosomal RNA". It matches the Rfam family "Eukaryotic large subunit ribosomal RNA", at positions 1 to 647 of the family's 3401-position model. Lineage: Eukaryota; Fungi; Neocallimastigomycota; Neocallimastigomycetes; Neocallimastigales. The record is from RNAcentral.
GUACACGCUGUGACUAGCAUAUCAAUAAGCGGAGGAAAAGAGGGCUAUUACCUACGCUUAGGAUGUUGACGAGACUGUCGAUCUCAUCUAUACAUGACUCUGUGCAUAUCAAUAAGCGGAGGAAAAGAAACUAACAAGGAUUCCCCUAGUAACGGCGAGUGAAGCGGGAAGAGCUCAAAUUUGAAAUCUUAAAGGGUUUCCCUUUACGAAUUGUAGUUUAAAGAAGUGUUUUCUGUUGAGGUUUUGGUAAAAGUUCUUUGGAAUAGGACAUCAUAGAGGGUGAGAAUCCCGUAUUUGACCUUUACUUUCAACUUUGUGAUACACUUUCAAAGAGUCGGAUUGUUUGGGAAUGCAGUCCAAAAUGGGUGGUAAAUUUCAUCUAAAGCUAAAUAUUGGCGAGAGACCGAUAGCGAACAAGUACCGUGAGGGAAAGAUGAAAAGAACUUUGAAAAGAGAGUUAAACAGUACGUGAAAUUGUCAAAAGGGAAGCGUUUGACACCAGUGUUGUUUUUCUGAAAAUCAAUUAAAGAACUGUUUAUGCUAAGCUGUUUAGACUUUAUCAGCUAUCUGUUUAGUUUUGAGCUUUUCUUUAAUGCACUUUUCAGUUAACAAGUCAACAUCAAUUUCUUUUGCUGUAAAAAAGCUUGAGGAAGGUGGCUUGAGAUUCGUCUUAAGUGUUUAUAGCCUCUUGCCUAUGCAGUCGGAGAGAUUGAGGUCUGCAGCGUAGAUCCUUCGGGGCUAAAUGCAUUUGUGCUAAGUUAUAGCAUUUCAUAGACAACUUGUUGACUAUGAUUUGUCUUGUAGCUUACUCGCUUAUGUUAUUUUACCUACGCUUAGGAUGUUGACGAGACUGUCGAUCUC